This 786-nucleotide ribosomal RNA is filed under the name Triticum aestivum (bread wheat). RNAcentral's name for it is "partial small subunit ribosomal RNA". Lineage: Eukaryota; Viridiplantae; Streptophyta; Magnoliopsida; Poales; Poaceae. The record is from RNAcentral.
AUGGUCAUGGUCAUGGAGGUGGUUGUGGCUCCGGCUCGCCGCGUCAUGGUCAUGGUCGCAGCUCUGGCCUGCCUCGUCGUGGUGAUCACGGCCCGGGGUCGCCGAGUCGGCCCCGAGAUGCGAACACACCUCGCAGGCCUGCUCGUCCACCUUCUCCUGCCCGUCGUCGCCGGCGCGCGCGCUCGCCUCAGGAGCCGCCGCGGCCCCAACCUCCACCUCGGCCACCCGGCUGGUGACCGGCUUGGCGAGGAACGUUGGUCGCUCGUCGCCGGCCAUGAUGACCACCACGUGCUCCUGGAAAUCCAUGGCCGGCCUGGCCGCGCCAGACGCCGAGCCCUUCUCCUCGUCCGCGUCCCCCGCGGCCUGGCCGUCCCGGUCACCGUCGAGGUACCCGGAGAGCUUCCAGUAGGAGCAGGCGAGGAUGAGCAGAGCCAAGGCGAUGAGCCCGAGCAUCGCCGCCAGCCCGCCGAACAGGUACGGCACCGGCGACUGCCACGUCGAGUGCGGCGGCGCCGUCCCGUUGAUCAGCCCAUGCGCCGGCGCCGCCGUCGGCGCUCCGGCGCGGUGGCUCGUGGUGAGGAACUGGGCCCCGGGCCUCAUGGUGUGUGUUGGUGUCUGUUGCACCUGAUGACUUUGUUGCUCUGUGUUUUCUCCUGCGUGUGUGCUUGUUUUUGUCUGAGGGGUGAGUGGGAAAUGGGGUGUAUUUAUAGGAGAGGAGGCCCUCCGGAGAAAAAUACUCACAAAACAUUUGAGUAUUUUCUAUUUGUCAUGCUGAGUAUAAUAUGA